RNAcentral lists this ribosomal RNA (483 nucleotides) under uncultured bacterium. RNAcentral's name for it is "partial 16S ribosomal RNA". It matches the Rfam family "Bacterial small subunit ribosomal RNA", at positions 30 to 507 of the family's 1533-position model. The record is from RNAcentral.
AUUGAACGCUGGCGGCAGGCCUAACACAUGCAAGUCGAGCGGAUGAUGGGAGCUUGCUCCUGGAUUCAGCGGCGUACGGGUGAUUAAUGCCUAGUUAUCUGCCUGUAGUUUUGGAUAACGUCCGGAAACGGGCGCUAUUACCGCAUACGUCCUGAUGCAUAAAGUGGGUGAUCUUCUUACCUCACGCUAUCAGUUGCUCCUAGGUCGUAUUAGCUAGUUGGUGGGGUAAAUGCCUACCAAGGCGACGAUCCGUAACUGGUCUGAGAGGAUGAUCAGUCAAACUGGAAAUGAGAAACGGUACAGACUCCUAAGGGAGGAAGCAGUGGGGAAUAUUGGACAAUGGGCGAAAGACUGAUCCAGCAAUGCCGCGUGUGUGAAGAAGGUCUACGGAUUGUAAAGCAAUUUAAGUUGGGAGGAAGGGAAGUAAGUUAAUACCUUGCUGAAUUGACGUUAACAACAGAAUAAGAACCGGCUAACUUCGUG